RNAcentral lists this ribosomal RNA (254 nucleotides) under uncultured bacterium. RNAcentral describes it as "partial 16S ribosomal RNA". It matches the Rfam family "Bacterial small subunit ribosomal RNA", at positions 524 to 776 of the family's 1533-position model. The record is from RNAcentral.
UACGUAGGGUGCGAGCGUUGUCCGGAAUUAUUGGGCGUAAAGAGCUUGUAGGCGGUUUGUCGCGUCUGCUGUGAAAAUCCGGGGCUCAACCCCGGACUUGCAGUGGGUACGGGCAGACUAGAGUGUGGUAGGGGAGACUGAAAUUCCUGGUGUAGCGGUGAAAUGCGCAGAUAUCAGGAGGAACACCGAUGGCGAAAGGCAGGUCUCUGGGCCACUACUGACGCUGAGAAGCGAAAGCAUGGGGAGCGAACAGG